AUCGCGGAUCAGCAUGCCGCGGUGAAUACGUUCCCGGGCCUUGUACACACCGCCCGUCACACCAUGAGAGUUUGUAACACCCAAAGCCGGUGGGGUAACCUUUUAGAGCCAGCCGUCUAAGGUGGGACAGAUGAUUAGGGUGAAGUCGUAACAAGGUAGCCGUAGGAGAACCUGCGGCUGGAUCACCUCCUUU
RNAcentral lists this ribosomal RNA (193 nucleotides) under Ligilactobacillus murinus. RNAcentral's name for it is "Lactobacillus murinus partial 16S ribosomal RNA". It matches the Rfam family "Bacterial small subunit ribosomal RNA", at positions 1341 to 1533 of the family's 1533-position model. Lineage: Bacteria; Bacillati; Bacillota; Bacilli; Lactobacillales; Lactobacillaceae. The record is from RNAcentral.